Molecule: ribosomal RNA, 211 nt
Filed under: uncultured bacterium
Lineage: Bacteria
Description: partial 16S ribosomal RNA
Rfam family: Bacterial small subunit ribosomal RNA
Source: RNAcentral
UACGUAGGGUGCAAGCGUUGUCCGGAAUUAUUGGGCGUAAAGCGCGUGUAGGCGGCAUUGCAAGUCGGGUGUGAAAGCCCUCGGCUCAACCGAGGAAGUGCGCCCGAAACUGCAGUGCUUGAGUACCGGAGAGGGUGACGGAAUUCCCCAAGUAGAGGUGAAAUUCGUAGAUAUGGGGAGGAACACCGGUGGCGAAGGCGGGUCACCUGGA